AACGAACGCUGACGGUAUGCCUAAUACAUGCAAGUCGCACGAGAAAGUUCCUUCGGGAGCGAGUAGAGUGGCGCACGGGUGAGUAACACGUAGGUGACCUACCUUUUGGAGUGGAAUAACCCCGAGCAAUUGGGGCUAAUACCGCGUAAGAUCGACUGAUUUAAAUAAGGUUGAUGAAAGGGUGCCUCUAUUUAUAAGCACUCGCCGAAAGCAGGGCCUGCGGGACAUUAGCUAGAUGGUGGGGUAAUGGCCUACCAUGGCGACGAUGUCUAGCGGAUCUGAGAGGAUGAUCAGCCACACUGGAACUGAGACACGGUCCAGACUCCUACGGGAGGCAGCAGUGGGGAAUCUUGCGCAAGGGGCGAAAGCCUGACGCAGCGACGCCGCGUGGGUGAUGAAGGCCUCCGGGUUGUAAAGCCCUGUGGAGAGGGACGAAUAGGUCGUGACCUAAUGCGUCAUGGCUGUGACGGUACCUCUUUAGCAAGCACCGGCUAACUCUGUGCCAGCAGCCGCCGUAA
This 518-nucleotide ribosomal RNA is filed under the name uncultured bacterium. Its description in RNAcentral is "partial 16S ribosomal RNA". It matches the Rfam family "Bacterial small subunit ribosomal RNA", at positions 29 to 523 of the family's 1533-position model. The record is from RNAcentral.